RNAcentral lists this ribosomal RNA (468 nucleotides) under uncultured bacterium. RNAcentral describes it as "partial 16S ribosomal RNA". It matches the Rfam family "Bacterial small subunit ribosomal RNA", at positions 28 to 507 of the family's 1533-position model. The record is from RNAcentral.
GACGAACGCUGGCGGCGUGCUUAACACAUGCAAGUCGAACGGAAAGGCCCUGCUUUUGUGGGGUGCUCGAGUGGCGAACGGGUGAGUAACACGUGAGUAACCUGCCCUUGACUUUGGGAUAACUUCAGGAAACUGGGGCUAAUACCGGAUAGGAGCUCCUGCUGCAUGGUGGGGGUUGGAAAGUUUCGGCGGUUGGGGAUGGACUCGCGGCUUAUCAGCUUGUUGGUGGGGUAGUGGCUUACCAAGGCUUUGACGGGUAGCCGGCCUGAGAGGGUGACCGGCCACAUUGGGACUGAGAUACGGCCCAGACUCCGAGGGGAGGCAGCAGGGGGAAAUAUGGCACAAGGGGCGGAGGCGGGAUGCAGCAGCGCCGGGUGGGGGAGGACGGCUUGCGGGUUGAAACCCGCUUUCGCCUGUGACGAGGGGGGAGUGAGGGUAUGGGGUAAAGAGGCACGGGCUAACUAGGUC